RNAcentral lists this ribosomal RNA (332 nucleotides) under Salmonella enterica subsp. enterica serovar Typhimurium. RNAcentral describes it as "partial 23S ribosomal RNA". It matches the Rfam family "Bacterial large subunit ribosomal RNA", at positions 1210 to 1547 of the family's 2925-position model. The record is from RNAcentral. Lineage: Bacteria; Pseudomonadati; Pseudomonadota; Gammaproteobacteria; Enterobacterales; Enterobacteriaceae.
GGAUACGUUCGUUGGGUAGGGGAGCGUUCUGUAAGCCUGUGAAGGUGUGUCGUGAGGCAUGCUGGAGGUAUCAGAAGUGCGAAUGCUGACAUAAGUAACGAUAAAGCGGGUGAAAAGCCCGCUCGCCGGAAGACCAAGGGUUCCUGUCCAACGUUAAUCGGGGCAGGGUGAGUCGACCCCUAAGGCGAGGCCGAAAGGCGUAGUCGAUGGGAAACGGGUUAAUAUUCCCGUACUUGGUGUUACUGCGAAGGGGGGACGGAGAAGGCUAUGUUGGCCGGGCGACGGUUGUCCCGGUUUAAGCGUGUAGGUGUGUGUUCCAGGUAAAUCCGGUU